AAGAAAGCACCGGCUAACUCCGUGCCAGCAGCCGCGGUAAUACGGAGGGUGCAAGCGUUGCUCGGAAAUUACUGGGCGUAAAGCGUACGCAGGCGGCUUUGUAAGUCGGGUGUGAAAGCCCCAGGCUCAACCUGGGAACUGCAUCCGAUACUGCAAGGCUUGAGUUCGGGAGAGGGAAGUGGAAUUCCUGGUGUAGAGGUGAAAUUCGUUGAUAUCAGGAGGAACACCGGCGGCGAAAGCGGCUUCCUGGCCCGAUACUGACGCUCAUGUACGAAAGCGUGGGGAGCAAACAGGAUUAGAUACCCUGGUAGUCCACGCCGUAAACGAUGAGUGCUAGAUGUUGGAGGUAUUCACCCCUUCAGUGUCGAAGCUAACGCAUUAAGCACUCCGCCUGGGGAGUACGGCCGCAAGGUUAAAACUCAAAGGAAUUGACGGGGGG
This 439-nucleotide ribosomal RNA is filed under the name uncultured bacterium. RNAcentral describes it as "bacterial SSU rRNA". It matches the Rfam family "Bacterial small subunit ribosomal RNA", at positions 484 to 920 of the family's 1533-position model. The record is from RNAcentral.